UACCAGGGGCGUCCGGUGGUGGAGGAGGAAGAGCGCGAGCGAAGGGAGCCCCCGCGUCGCCGUCGGCCGCGGCUGCUCCCCAAGACGAGCCGCCUUGGCAGGUUGCUAACGAGGGUCAGCGGCGGCGAGAUGAGCUUCCAGUGGUCAGGGUGAGAGCGUGGCCACGUAAACGUUCUAAAUGGACCGAAGUGUGCAUCACACAUGUUUUUCCUAGUACGAAAUUAUUGUGGUCUUUCGGUACAUAAGUCAGGAAACGGACUAACCUGGUUGUGCAAUCCUCGUAUAAACUAAUCGGGUCGAGAACCGCGUGUGAAGUGAUACAUGAACCGUUUGUACGUUCUACCUAGUUUUAGUCGGAAUGGUGGAUUUCUACAACUUUCCGAAUAGAAACAUCAAGUUCCGUCGUAACGUAACAGACACCUCUCGCCUUGUUGGGUGAGGGACAACCAUCUGAGAAUACGAAUAGAAGGACGUUUGUACUUCGUGAGACACUAUAGUCUAUUUGGUUGGUGAGAACAUUAGAAACUCUCCUCCAUGUGUUGGUAACCCCUAAUGGUACGACUAGAUCAACAACCAAGUUGUCUAUUCGUUGGGGAGGAACUUUGGGGUCCUCUCCAUAAACUCGACUCCUUCGACGAUGGGUGAAGAGAUGGAAUACUGAAAUUAUAAGUAUAUUACCUGAAAGUCAGUCCGCUCAUAGAGUUACACUUCCUCCAAGUAAUGUUAGUUGUACCCGACGACGAAAAUCUCCCUGUUCCUUAUAUAGCUAACCCUUUAUCGACCAUAGGCCACGUUCGUCCGCUAUGGUAAACCUACCGCGGUAAACACGGAGUUACCAUACGACGGGAACCAUUUUGGUUCAGAUCCAUGGACGACAUGUUUCUACAGUUAUCCUUAGGUGACUAUACUCGUUUCCGUGAGUGAGAACUACCUCCCGUUAGCAAGUGGUAUCCGUAUCUCUCGAUACGGUCGAAUACUUCUCAAGAAGAUCUUCUGCCGGAGGUUUUCUGUAACGAGGUUAACGAACGACCGCUUGACGUGUCUAAGGUCUCUUAGCUACAUUAUUUUUAUUAUUAUCGUUUACUCAUGAACCUUUUAACACUACAAGUACCGACGGGUAACCACGAACCUCCUACUAUACUUGAGGCUAUGAAAAGAGGAAAAAGCUCUAACUUGGCACCUUGAAGGUACAUAAGCACAGACCUGUCUUUAACGGCAUCGGC
RNAcentral lists this ribosomal RNA (1223 nucleotides) under Triticum aestivum (bread wheat). Its description in RNAcentral is "partial small subunit ribosomal RNA". Lineage: Eukaryota; Viridiplantae; Streptophyta; Magnoliopsida; Poales; Poaceae. The record is from RNAcentral.